GCAGUACUCUUGGCCUUUUUUAGGCUAAGAUCAUGUGUAGUUCCUGUUCUUACCUAUGUCCUCCAUAGGAGGUCUGUGUUGAAUGGAUUUUUGGUGUUGGGAGGUGGAACUGGAGCUUGCUCCAUCCUCUCCAUGCAUCAGCCUGGUAUUACAGUGCUUCCAGGAGUGGUGCAAUAAAU
This 179-nucleotide small nuclear RNA is filed under the name Crocodylus porosus (Australian saltwater crocodile). RNAcentral's name for it is "U2 spliceosomal RNA (ENSCPRG00005012800.1)". It matches the Rfam family "U2 spliceosomal RNA". Rfam says of the family: U2 is a small nuclear RNA (snRNA) component of the spliceosome (involved in pre-mRNA splicing). Complementary binding between U2 snRNA (in an area lying towards the 5' end but 3' to hairpin I) and the branchpoint sequence (BPS) of the intron results the bulging out of an unpaired adenosine, on the BPS, which initiates a nucleophilic attack at the intronic 5' splice site, thus starting the first of two transesterification reactions that mediate splicing. The record is from Rfam by way of RNAcentral. Lineage: Eukaryota; Metazoa; Chordata; Crocodylia; Crocodylidae.